CCUACGGGUGGCAGCAGUGAGGAAUAUUGGUCAAUGGACGCAAGUCUGAACCAGCCAUGCCGCGUGCAGGAAGACGGCUAUAUGAGUUGUAAACUGCUUUUGUACGAGGGUAAACGCAGAUACGCGUAUCUGUCUGAAAGUAUCGUACGAAUAAGGAUCGGCUAACUCCGUGCCAGCAGCCGCGGUAAUACGGAGGAUUCAAGCGUUAUCCGGAUUUAUUGGGUUUAAAGGGUGCGUAGGCGGUCGGAUAAGUUAGAGGUGAAAUCCCGAGGCUCAACUUCGGAAUUGCCUCUGAUACUGUUCGGCGAGAGAGUAGUUGCGGUAGGCGGAAUGUAUGGUGUAGCGGUGAAAUGCUUAGAGAUCAUACAGAACACCGAUUGCGAAGGCAGCUUACCAAGCUACUUCUGACGUUGAGGCACGAAAGCGUGGGGAGCAAACAGGAGUAGAUACCCGGGUAGUC
This 460-nucleotide ribosomal RNA is filed under the name uncultured bacterium. RNAcentral describes it as "partial 16S ribosomal RNA". It matches the Rfam family "Bacterial small subunit ribosomal RNA", at positions 338 to 795 of the family's 1533-position model. The record is from RNAcentral.